This 740-nucleotide long non-coding RNA is filed under the name Cavia porcellus (domestic guinea pig). Its description in RNAcentral is "lncRNA (ENSCPOG00000035171.1)". The record is from RNAcentral. Lineage: Eukaryota; Metazoa; Chordata; Mammalia; Rodentia; Caviidae.
CUCAGGAGUAUAAUUCCCCACAUUUUUGCUCAUAAUAAAACCUUAAAUUGUCCUUUACUUUUUUUUUAAACAGUGAAUUUAGUAGAAAUCCACAUAUUGUGAGUUUUGUUGGAAAUCAGGUAACUAUAAGAAGAGCGGAUGGCUCCCUGGUACAUAUCAGCAUAUCACCAUAUCCUGCUAUUCUCCAUGACUAUGUAGGCAGUUCAAAAUGGGAAGAUGCUGUAAGGCUUUGUCGCUUUGUUAAGGAGCAAACUAUGUGGGCUUGCCUAGCUGCGAUGGCAGUUGCUAAUCGAGAUAUGACUACUGCAGAAAUAGCUUAUGCAGCCAUUGGUGAAAUGGAUAAAGUUCAGUACAUCAAUUCUAUGAAAGAUCUUCCAUCCAAAGAAUCAAAAAUGGCCCACAUACUACUGUUUAGUGGGAAUAUACAGGAGGCUGAAAUAGUACUUCUUCAGGCUGGCCUUGUUUAUCAAGCAAUCCAGAUCAAUAUUAAUCUGUAUAACUGGGAAAGGGCACUGGACUUGGCUGUAAAAUACAAAACACAUGUUGAUACAGUUCUUGCUUACCGUCAAAAGUUUUUAGAAACAUUUGGUAAAAAGGAAACGAAUGAACGAUAUUUGCAAUAUGCAGAAGGUCUCCAAAUAGAUUGGGAGAAAAUCAAAGUCAAAAUUCAGAUGGAAAUUACUAAAGAACGAGAGCGAUCAAGCAGCCAGUCCAGCAAGAAUACAAGUCUAAAGCACUAA